This 497-nucleotide ribosomal RNA is filed under the name uncultured bacterium. RNAcentral describes it as "partial 16S ribosomal RNA". It matches the Rfam family "Bacterial small subunit ribosomal RNA", at positions 28 to 507 of the family's 1533-position model. The record is from RNAcentral.
GAUGAACGCUGGCGGCGUGCCUAAUACAUGCAAGUCGAGCGAACAGAUGAGGAGCUUGCUCCUCUGACGUUAGCGGCGGACGGGUGAGUAACACGUGGAUAACCUACCUAUAAGACUGGGAUAACUUCGGGAAACCGGAGCUAAUACCGGAUAAUAUAUUGAACCGCAUGGUUCAAUAGUUAAAGACGGUUUUGCUGUCACUUAUAGAUGGAUCCGCGCCGCAUUAGCUAGUUGGUAAGGUAACGGCUUACCAAGGCAACGAUGCGUAGCCGACCUGAGAGGGUGAUCGGCAACACUGGAACUGAGACACGGUCCAGACUCCUACGGGAGGCAGCAGUAGGGAAUCUUCCGCAAUGGGCGAAAGCCUGACGGAGCAACGCCGCGUGAGUGAUGAAGGUCUUCGGAUCGUAAAACUCUGUUAUUAGGGAAGAACAAAUGUGUAAGUAACUAUGCACGUCUUGACGGUACCUAAUCAGAAAGCCACGGCUAACUACGUG